UACGGAGGAUGCGAGCGUUAUCCGGAUUUAUUGGGUUUAAAGGGUGCGUAGGCGGCUUUUUAAGUCAGCGGUGAAAUUUUGCAGCUUAACUGUAACAGUGCCGUUGAUACUGGGGAGCUAGGAUUUGGUUGCUGUGGGUGGAAUGUGUGGUGUAGCGGUGAAAUGCUUAGAGAUCACACAGAAUAUCGAUUGCGAAGGCAGCUCACAAAGCCAAGAUUGAUGCUGAGGCACGAAAGUGUGGGGAUCAAAACCGGAUUA
RNAcentral lists this ribosomal RNA (258 nucleotides) under uncultured prokaryote. RNAcentral's name for it is "partial 16S ribosomal RNA". It matches the Rfam family "Bacterial small subunit ribosomal RNA", at positions 524 to 780 of the family's 1533-position model. The record is from RNAcentral.